RNAcentral lists this ribosomal RNA (465 nucleotides) under uncultured bacterium. RNAcentral describes it as "partial 16S ribosomal RNA". It matches the Rfam family "Bacterial small subunit ribosomal RNA", at positions 28 to 507 of the family's 1533-position model. The record is from RNAcentral.
GACGAACGCUGGCGGCGUGCUUAACACAUGCAAGUCGAACGGAAAGGCCCUGCUUGCAGGGUACUCGAGUGGCGAACGGGUGAGUAACACGUGGGUGAUCUGCCCUGCACUUCGGGAUAAGCCUGGGAAACUGGGUCUAAUACCGGAUAGGAGCCAUUUUUAGUGUGAUGGUUGGAAAGUUUUUUCGGUGUAGGAUGAGCUCGCGGCCUAUCAGCUUGUUGGUGGGGUAAUGGCCUACCAAGGCGGCGACGGGUAGCCGGCCUGAGAGGGUGGACGGCCACAUUGGGACUGAGAUACGGCCCAGACUCCUACGGGAGGCAGCAGGGGGGAAGAUUGCACAAUGGGCGCGAGCCUGAUGCAGCUACGCCGCGUGGGGGAUGACGGCCUUCGGGUUGUAAACUCCUUUCGCUAGGGACGAAGCUUUUUGUGACGGUACCUAGAUAAGAAGCACCGGCUAACUACGUG